ACUUAUAAGACUUCUCUAACUUGGUAACGUGAGAACUUUAGUAUCUUCAACAAAUUCAACAUGAUUUCAUGGCAAUUCAACAAGAUCUCAUGAGCAUCUUCAAGAAUUCAAACGUGAAUUCUUAGUAUCCUGGUAACAUGAGACUUCUCUAAACUCACCAAAAUAAUUUGCUCAUCUCUACUAAUUUAAGAGAUGAAGCUUCAGCAAACUUAUUCAUGAAAGACUAGAUAUUAGCAACAUAAUUUUACUACAAAAAUCAUACGAGACUACAUAAUAUUAUAGCAACGGAAUUUUGUGGUUCUAAGGGAGUACGGUGCAAUCUUUCUCAAGAAUAUCAUAUGGAUUUUUCCCUACUCCGAUCUUGCCGAUUAUAUGUUAUCGCAAUUAACAUGUAUUAGAGGGAUUGUCAAGAGAACUGGCUCAGGUAUGUUAAGGCUAUCCCUUCCUUCUUUUUGGCAUAAUUCAUACGACACAAAUAAAACGAUCAAAUGCACAAUUUCCAGCAAAUGCACAACUGCAGUAAACACAAAAGCCAUAGCGGUUGGAUGCCUCACAGUCCUCUCUGAGACGCCAACUGCCAACGCCUUUGUAUUUCUUCUGACCUUUGUGUUAGUGAUCAGCAUUUUAAUUGGCAUGUUUGUUUUGAGGCAUAUCAAAUCGCCAGUUCUGAACUUGAUCAUAUUUCCUGUCACAUAAACUUUUUCAGGUGGUGCAAUUCCCAGAUCCUGAAAUAUUCUUUGAAGAAGCAUCUCAAGGGAUUUAAGUAUUCUAUAUUUUCUGAAUUAAAAAUAAAAGCUAUCAAGGCAACUAAGUAGAGCAUAGUUAUGUAAUGAUAACUUGAUGAUCUAUGAUAAAUAGAAGGAAACUGCCCAUAUUCCCCUCCUAAGAAAAAAGUAAAAAAGACCACGGAAAAGGAAAUUAGCAGAAAGAAAAGGUAAAUGAAAGACAUAUAAUUUAGGAGCGAGCCUUCUCUACAGAUCUUCUGUUGCCAAGAAGGCUUCAGGGUUUCCAAUUAGCUUAUGUGCUUUUAAUUAGAUAAUAAUCUUUUGUACAGCUCAUCAUAUUAAUGAAUAGAAAACUUAGGUUCUAGGAUAAUCUAACCUAAUUAUUAAUUUAGUUGAUGAUCAAAAGACCUAAUAAUUCCUAUGCAACAGACUUUUCUUAUUAGUUUUUCCCCAAAAGAAUGACGAAAUUUUGUAUUUGAAAACGAUUUAAUAUUAACAUCCCCAUUUUACCGUUACUAACAUGACUUACUGAGAAUCCACUUAAUAUUUAAACUGAUUUUAUUAGGAAAGAAAAGUAGGAAGUGACAUGUGGAACUCUUACCAACUUUUAUUUAAUUGUUAAUAGUAAGGGUAAUUUAUACCUUGCAUAUAUUUAGCUUAUGUAGAAAUUCCUUUAUUUCUUAAACUUGCACAUAAGAUGCGACGGAGGAAGUAUAUCUUAUUUCAUGCUGAUUAGAAAAGAGAAAUUUCUAUUUAAACAAAUUAAAUUGGUAAACCAUUACAGAAAAAGAAAGGACAGAUAAGUUAUUAUUAUCCUCCGCGCAAAUUAAAAGCUACUUCCUCCACCCCUAUUUAAGUGACAGUGUUUGACUGGGCACAGAGUUUAAGAAAGAAAGACUUUUAAAUUUCUGGUCUUAAACAAGUUUUAGCCUUUUGUGUGGCUAUAAAUGAUCUCAUUAAGGGUAAAAUGAAAAGUUUAAUACAUAAAGUUGAACUGAGGGAGUACCUAUUUUGGGUGAGCCAGAACAUAAAAUGUAAAAUAAUCAAUGAAACAACAUUAUAUGAGAGAUCAGUGAUAUUCUUAAAUUUACAAUUACUAUUCCCGGAUGCUAAUAUGUUUUAUAUGAUGACAAGAGCAUCUUUGACACGCUUGCCCCUUCCCCUAGAAAGAAGAUAUUCUUGUUCCAAAGCCUCAUCAAUCAUCAUGUUUAAAUACGAUGAAGCAAAGUGAAAAGUCCAAUGAUUUGUAUGGCAGUGUUUCAUAGUAAUGGUAAGUGGAAGCUAAAGGAUAUAGGGCUACCACCCUCUAAAUAAAGAUCUAGAUACAGAGUCGAAAAAAAGGUAGGGUAUUUCAUUUUGGAAAUAAACAACUCGUAAAGCUUGAUCUGUGACGUCGCAUAGCUCUUUAGGAAGGCAGUAAGAACAAGAUUCCGUAGAGAAGCGCCAUAAAAAAUAGAAGCCAGCCAAUUCCAGUAGAGUCAAAGUCAAAUAAGAAGGGCCUUGAGCCCGGUACUCCUUCUUCAAGCUAUCAUGCUCAUCCAAGCCUAUUGCUUCUGUAACAGC
This 2288-nucleotide long non-coding RNA is filed under the name Nicotiana tabacum (common tobacco). RNAcentral describes it as "long non-coding RNA (NTAB_LNC009380)". The record is from RNAcentral. Lineage: Eukaryota; Viridiplantae; Streptophyta; Magnoliopsida; Solanales; Solanaceae.